CUUCUCUCGGGAGCCUCCACCCAGGCGCAUGGCUCCAUGAAGCAAGAGGAGGAGGCAGAGCGCGAGAGAUCCCGUCCGCCCCAGCCGCGUCUGGGCCAGGAGAAAAGCAAAACCAUAUUCCUGCUGCUGUCAGUUUUGAUGCACUGAGAAAACUUCAGAGACCUAAGCUUUUUCCAGAGAAGAGAAGCUUUACUGGUGUUCCAGCCCUAAGGCUCAUAUGACAUUAACAGACAAGACACUUUUCAGAAAGACAGGUUGUUCUUUUGGGCCACAUCUAAGAAAUCUUUGUCUAGCCAAAAGCCACAAAUAAUUUCUCAUUUUUUGGCUUCUGGAAGAUGUACAGUUAAAUGUUAUAUUUGGGACUGUUAUCUAAUUUGAUUAAAUUGCACUCUACAAUAUGAUAUUUGAAUUGAUGAAAAAUUAGUAAAUGUUAAUAUUUUUUAAAGUAGCCAAAUCUUGCAAUUUAUAUAUAAUAGAGAAGACUAGAAAAUCCCCCAUAUUUAUUUCCUCUUACUUCGUACUACUAAAAUUUGUAUUUAGGCAUUUGGUUUCUCAGAUAAACAUUACAUUCCCCAGUAUAUGGUUCUAUCUGGCUUGGUGACGACAUGUUGAACAUUAAGAUGUGAGCAGAAGUAAUACAUACACACUCUUUUUAAUGUCUUUAAUUGAAUGGGAUAUUGGCCCAUUUUUUCUUCCAGUUUAUUACACUGAAUAUUGACAUGUUAUUUUCCAAUAUUGAGACAAUCAAUGACAAGACUUUAAGAGUAACAAUGUAAAAAUUAUAGAAGUUGUCUGAGUUUAUCAACAAUCCCCUGGAUUAGAACCCCCUACCAGUUCUAGGUCAUCUAAUAUAUAGACAUUGUGUUCAGUAGAAAUAAAUAUAUAUAUUUUUUAAUAUACUUUAAGUUCUAGGAUACAUGUGCACAACAUGCAGGUUUGUUACAUUGGUAUACACAUGCCAUGUUGGUUUGCUGCACCCAUUAACUCAUCAUUUACAUUAGUUAUUUCUCCUAAUGCUAUCCCUC
This 1025-nucleotide long non-coding RNA is filed under the name Homo sapiens (human). RNAcentral's name for it is "long non-coding RNA NONHSAT157295.1". Lineage: Eukaryota; Metazoa; Chordata; Mammalia; Primates; Hominidae. The record is from RNAcentral.